This 135-nucleotide small nucleolar RNA is filed under the name Octodon degus (degu). Its description in RNAcentral is "Small nucleolar RNA SNORA42/SNORA80 family (ENSODEG00000024725.1)". The record is from RNAcentral. Lineage: Eukaryota; Metazoa; Chordata; Mammalia; Rodentia; Octodontidae.
UCAGGAGUUUAAAUGUAGGGGGUACCUAUCCCUCUAGGCCCCUGCUAGUGUCCUGUGCCAGUACAUAUUGUACCCUGGGCAUUUUCACCUGGCCUGAGCCUGUGAGCUGCUAGCAUUGAAGUAGGUUUUACAGUG